AGUGAACGCUGGCGGUAGGCCUAACACAUGCAAGUCGAACGGCAGCACAGUAAGAGCUUGCUCUUACGGGUGGCGAGUGGCGGACGGGUGAGGAAUACAUCGGAAUCUACUUUUUCGUGGGGGAUAACGUAGGGAAACUUACGCUAAUACCGCAUACGACCUACGGGUGAAAGCAGGGGAUCUUCGGACCUUGCGCGAUUGAAUGAGCCGAUGUCGGAUUAGCUAGUUGGCGGGGUAAAGGCCCACCAAGGCGACGAUCCGUAGCUGGUCUGAGAGGAUGAUCAGCCACACUGGAACUGAGACACGGUCCAGACUCCUACGGGAGGCAGCAGUGAGGAAUAUUGGACAAUGGGCGAAAGCCUGAUCCAGCCAUACCGCGUGGGUGAAGAAGGCCUUCGGGUUGUAAAGCCCUUUUGUUGGGAAAGAAAAGCAGAAGGUUAAUACCCCGCUGUUCUGACGGUACCCAAAGAAUAAGCACCGGCUAACUUCGUG
Molecule: ribosomal RNA, 492 nt
Filed under: uncultured bacterium
Lineage: Bacteria
Description: partial 16S ribosomal RNA
Rfam family: Bacterial small subunit ribosomal RNA
Source: RNAcentral